GUGGGUGUGUCUUCAUGUUUUUAUGUCUAUUUAUGUUUAUGAGAGAGCUAUAAAUUAAUAUGUAUGUGUGUGUAUAUAUGUAGGUGUGUGUGUAUACAUAUAUUCUUAUUUCAUUUUUCUUGUUUAUUUAUUUUUUUCAUUACACUGUGGCCAUACAGGGGCACCAGAUUAAUGAAUUUACUCAAUUAAUUAGUCUACCCGUCUCAUUUUGCUAAGCUGCAAGGUUUUGUCAGAUGUCAAAAAAUACAAAAAAAUAUGUGCUCAUACUUGUACAUGUGUUUGUGUGUUGUGGAACCAAACCCCCAUAUUUCUGAGAAAAUUUCUUAACCACACAGCCAUUCCUCCACACAAACACACACUUACAUAGAUGCAUACUCAUGUACACAUUUUUAUUUUUAUAUACACUUCUUUAUAUAUGUAUAUAUGUAGUGUGUGUGUGUAUAUAUACAUGCUAAUAUUGGUAUUCUCAUCCAAAGACUAACCCCUGUGGCACGCUUGAACAAUUGUUAAGAUUUCUCAUUACAUGAACCAUUGGUAUCCUUAUUCCACAAAUAAGGUGUGUGUGUGUGUAUAUGUAUACACUUUUUAUUUGUGGAUAUAUAUAAAGAAUCGUUUUAAUGACCACUUUUUCAUGCUUGUAUGAGUAGACAGAAUUUCUGCAGCUGGCUGCCUUCCCUAUCACCAACUCUCAUCUUUCUCCAAGUAAUGUAAUAUUUUGCCGUGAUUGGACACGUCUUUCAUUGAAGACUGCAGAAAAAGGUCACUACUUGCAUAAUGACGACACUCAUUUACAACCUAUCAUGCAAUGUCACGCAUGCACACACUCUCUUGUGAUGCGCACCUCUUUCAGUUUCUCUCUACCUAAUCCACUUACAAGGCUUUGGUCAGCCCAGGGCUAUAGCAGAAGUCACUUGUCUGAGGUCCCACAGUGUGGAAUUGAACACAGAACCAUGUGGUUGGGAUGCAAGCUUCUUACCAUGCAACCACACAUUUGCCUAUAGCCAUACUAGGCGCUUAUAUAUAAAUAAAUAAAUGUGAAUAUUUAUAUACAUAUAUCAAUUGGCUUCUGUGUAGCUUCCUUUAACCAACACUUGGAAGGCAUUUUCUAUCUGAGGCAUUAGCAGAAGACACGUGCCCAAGGUGGUGCAGGCAAUGGGACCCCAUGGUUGUGUGGUAAAUACUUGACCAUAAAACCCUUUUGUGUGUGCAUGCGUGAACUGCUUAAGAGUGUAUUGCUUGCUGUUUAUGUGGCACCAGCACUAGUGAGGUGACCAAGUAACUCACAAUACAAGAUCCCUUGGCUGAAUGGGGCUGCAAUAUGAUGCUCUUCCUGUUGCCAACCCUUGUCUCUCUCCAAGCAAGGUAAUCUUUCCGCCUGACAACUUUUCAGAGAUUAGAAACUGACACUGCUUCUAUGACAGUGAUAUGCAUUUAAAACUAUCACACACUGACAAAACAAAGAGACAUUAACACACACACACACACACACGCACGCGCGCGAUAGGUUUCUUUUUGCUUCUAUCAGCUGAAUCCACUCAGAAGGUUUUGAUUGGCUUGGGACUAUACCAGAAAUCAUUAACCAACAGUGCCAUACAGUGGGACUGAACCUGAAACCAUGUGGCUAGUAGGCAAACUUCUUAACUAUGCAGCUAUGCUUGUGCUUAUAUGUGUGUGUUGAGAUACAGUUUUGUGUGUGUGUGAAGCAAGAUGGAAUGAACAGGUUUUAAUCACAAAACGCAACAAUUGUUUCUGUGCAUUAGUAACAGCUGUUGCUGAGUUUUCCAUAUCAUACUGUUACAUAAAAUGUUAUGUAAAUAAAUAUGAUUCAGCAUUAGCUGUGUACCCACACAUCAUCAGGUAAGUGGCUUUGAAACCACUCUGUGUUUGUGUGUGUGUGUAUAUGUACAUGCACACACACAUAAUCAAAUUUCGAUAGUGUUGGGAGCUCAUGACAUACCUGUUCAGUAAUUUAGAACAUUUCCGAAGUAAAUACACAUUAGAAGUGAAACAUAUAGGUUCAGUGUUCAUCAGCAGACAAAAACAAUCAAGUCAAUAUGUAUAAAUGUGCAUUGAACUUGUGCUUGUAAAGUGGUCCUAACACCAACCACUUUGCAGUCUGGCAAACACCCAGUCCACCUUGUAAAGUGGUUGGCAUUAGAAAAGGUAUCCAACUGUAGAAAGCAUGCUAAAGAUGAUUAUGUGUGUGUGUGUCUACACAUUUGUGUAUGUGGUAGAUGAGUGUACCAGUGAGUAUUGCAUGGUGCAUAAAAGAUUGUGUAGAUACUCUCUCACACUGGCCUCUUGGUAGUAUUUUUAGCUGACUUUUAUGUAUUUGUGGUUAGGAAUAUUUUCCUACUUUUCAAUUUAUUAAGUAGCAUUAUUUCUCCAUUUCUUUAAUCCUUGAUAAUACUACUUCUCUUUUUUUCUCUCUCUCUCUCUGUAUUUUUCAGUUUUCUCUGUUUAAUAUGACAUAACAUUAGCAUGAAAUACUUUGAUGUACAUCUAGAAAGUAAAAUGCAUCACAACUCUUUGCAUACAUAAUGAAAUGUCAAGAGGAUUUCAGAAAUCUUUCCUAAAUAUAUUAGCCUCAUCUAUUUUAAAACCAUUCUGAUUGGACUUUUGAUAAGCAUACACUCACCACACUCUUAUCGCUUACCCAUCCAUUUGUCAUCUCUGUUCUCUCUCCAUGUCUACUUGUAACCAUUGUGUUACUUUUCAUCCCCCUCAUCACUUUUCAUCUGCCCUUCCCAACCUUGCCGCUGUUCUUCAUUAUGUUUACUGUCUCACCCAUUCUUCCAUCUCUCACUCCCAAAUACACUCUUUCAACCUCCAUUCCCUAGCUUCCUUCCUUCCCUUCCUCCUUUCUGCUGCCUCAUACCUUGGGGGUCCACCCAGACACUUCAUCACUUUUAUUUUUAUCUCUUCCCAGUUUCACCUCGAUUAACCCCACCCUCUCUUCUAAAAUGUGAGCAGCCAUUUUGCUCCUUUACAACAAGAAAUUUGUUCUGCUCUGACAAGCAAUAAAGUUGUUGGCAUUAGGGAUGGCAUCCAGCCAUAGAAGCCAUAUCUAAGUAGACAGUUGAGCAAGAUGCAUUCCUGAGACCCAUUGGAUGUUGUUGAAACCAUUCAGCCCAAGGAACACCAGUGUUAAAUAAUGAUGGUGGUGAUGAUGAUACACAAACAGACACACCCACUUAUUGGCACACAUUUUCAUUUACUCAUUUGUCUUUUUAUCCUCCUCCUCAUCAUCAUUUAAUGUUUGCUUUCCAUGCUGUCAUGGGUUGGACAGUUUGACUGGAUUUGGUAAGCCAGAGUUGCACCAAGUUCUAAUCUGAUUUUGCAUGGUUUCUAUGGCUGGAUGCCCUUCCUAACACCAACUGCUCCAUGAGUGUAAUGGGUGCUUUUUACAUGCCACCAGCAUGGGUAUUUAAUUUAUUACAAGGAAAAGGCAAGAUGCAUUCAACAAUGAAAUAAGGGAAUUGAGAUAGAUGAGCUUGACAAAGCCUUUAUGAUAUGUCUCUAAACACAUCAUUUUGAAACUGUUGUUUGUGUGAGAUUGACUGAAUUUCAUUUUGUAUCUGUACCACAUCCUUAUCUCAAUGUAGGAAAGAGUAAAAUUGUGUGUGCAAGUGCCCCCUCCCCCCAUACAUGCUUACAGACAGACAGGCAUAGUAUUGUGGUUAAGAAGUUUUCUUCAGAAUCACAUGGUUAAGGGUUCAGUCCCCACCAUAUGAACAUUGUUGACUGACAUUUUUAUACCAUAGCCAUAAGUUGACUGAUACUUUGUGUGUAAAAUUAAUAGAAAUUGAAGAAGCUUGUCAUAGAUCUAUAUCUACUUUCAAUAUAUAUAUGUGUGUAAGUCUGUUUGUAUUUCUUGUCUGCAUAUGUGUUUGUUGAUUGUAAACAAAAGCCUCAUUCAAACAGUGCUGUUUGUUUCUAGUUUUUUUUAUCUAGUUACUGGUUAUUAUUAUUCAAUAGACCAAGAGAUUAUUACCUCCUUAGAAACAGCUGAGCUCUAAGGAGCUUCCUUGUAAUAGGAAGGGUGUUCAGUUAAAGAGGAUCUAUCUCAACAAAUUCUAUCAGACCCAAACUAGCAUGGAGAAGUGGACUUUAACAUGAUGGUCAUGAGACAAACACACAUGCGCAUGCACUUAAAUGUGGAUUCUUAUAUGGAUGCUUCCAUGGUCAAAUGAUUUCAGUGUUUGGUUGGUUAAUCCUGAAGUCAAAGCUAUCAUUUCCCUGCAUGGCAUUCUUGGAGAAGGCUGUCUUUUAUGAUAGUUGUGGGUCAACACAUGCCACAUUAUUUAAAUUUCUCAGACGCACACAACAUGCAGUAACAUGUUAGAUGGUCUCCUCCUGUAGGUCAGUCACAGUAAUGCUGUCUUAUGUUGGCAGUUUGAGUGCCUUUGUAGUACUCAGCCACAUACACUCAAUGUGUAGAUAAUUCUGUUUGACCAAACAUUUUGACUCCUAUUUGUAAAUUUGUUUACUUUUUUACUUGUACAUUUGUGUUUGUGUGUGUAUAUAUAUAUUUGUGUAUGAAUAUAUGUAUAAUUUAGACCUGUGUGUGUUUGUAAGUAUUCAGACUUAUAUUUGUAUGUAUAUAUAUCAAGUAUAACCGGCUGAACCUGCAUUGACCCUCUGGAACUCAACUGAGGAUAGGAAGCUCUGAAUGACCCGUCCUUGUUUUUCCUGUCCUUUUUUGUAUCAUCUAACUGUCCGGAUGUUUUGUUGUUGCCUGUUACAUUCUUGUUCCAUUUUUUGUUUUCUUUAUAUAUAUGUGUGUGUGUCUGUUUACAUAUGUAUACAUGUGCCUAUAAGUAAGUAUGUGUGCUGACCAUGAGUUAACAAUAGCUUUACCUCUGCUCUCAGUAAUAGUCAUUUCACUAUUGUUAAAUUUGCUGUCAAAUGAAUGCAGCCUUUGAACCACUAUGGCCACCAUCAGUCACAAUUGACGACAUGUUCAUGUUUACCAUGCUUUUGCCUUUAGUAAACAAACCUUUGCUAGUUGCAGGAUAGUUGCCCUUCUGUGUAGCAAAGUCUCAGUACUUGUUCAUCUAACCCAUACUGACCUGGAAAAAUAAACGAAAAAAAAAAAUGAUUGAA
This 5106-nucleotide long non-coding RNA is filed under the name Octopus sinensis (East Asian common octopus). RNAcentral's name for it is "uncharacterized LOC118763932". Lineage: Eukaryota; Metazoa; Mollusca; Cephalopoda; Octopoda; Octopodidae. The record is from RNAcentral.